GUUGUUGCUCAGUGGUUAGAGCACUUGCCUAGUAUGUGUGAGGCCCUGGGUUUGAUCCUCAGCAUCACA
RNAcentral lists this transfer RNA (69 nucleotides) under Marmota monax (woodchuck). RNAcentral's name for it is "tRNA.Thr". Lineage: Eukaryota; Metazoa; Chordata; Mammalia; Rodentia; Sciuridae. The record is from RNAcentral.